This is a long non-coding RNA of Capsicum annuum, 361 nucleotides long. RefSeq lists it as uncharacterized. The record is from RefSeq and is a predicted model, not a curated record. The transcript has 3 exons. Lineage: Eukaryota; Viridiplantae; Streptophyta; Magnoliopsida; Solanales; Solanaceae.
UAUUUUCUGUAAUAACACACAUUUAUUACCAGCUCUCUCUUACGCAGUACUCCAUUAAUCUAUCCAAGCUUCCCUCUUACAAUUUCUGUCUUUUUUCUUCAAAUUCUCCAUAAACUCCUCCGAUUUGAGCUUCAACGUACCAGUUGUAGCCUACACAUCAUAAUCAGGUAGUUCUCAGCUUUCAGCCAACAGGUACAAGUUGUAGCCCAAACAUCCUAAUCAAGCAGUUCUCAGCUUUCAGCCAGCAGGUGAUAAGUUAUUUUGUUUCGGGGACUCCAGUCCAUUGCAGUUCAUGUGUUGUAUUUUGAUUAUACAUAUGUAUUAAUUAGUGGUAGUUGGAGGCAUGUACUAGCUAUCUAUA